UACGGAGGGUGCAAGCGUUAAUCGGAAUUACUGGGCGUAAAGCGCACGUAGGUGGUUUGGUAAGUCGGAUGUGAAAUCCCCGGGCUUAACCUGGGAAUGGCAUUCGAGACUGUCAAGCUAGAGUCUGGUAGAGGGUGGUGGAAUUCCAGGUGUAGCGGUGAAAUGCGUAGAUAUCUGGAGGAACAUCAGUGGCGAAGGCGGCCACCUGGACUGAGACUGACACUGAGGUGCGAAAGCGUGGGUAGCAAAC
Molecule: ribosomal RNA, 250 nt
Filed under: uncultured bacterium
Lineage: Bacteria
Description: partial 16S ribosomal RNA
Rfam family: Bacterial small subunit ribosomal RNA
Source: RNAcentral